CUACGUAGGUGGCAAGCGUUGUCCGGAAUUAUUGGGCGUAAAGCGCAUGUAGGCGGUUUGGUAAGUCGGUAGUGAAAAUGCGGUGCUUAACGCCGUAUGGCGAUUGAAACUGCUGAACUUGAGUGCAGGAGAGGAAAGGGGAACUCCCAGUGGAGCGGUGAAAUGGGUAGAUAUUGGGAAGAAACCGGGUGGCGAAGGCGUCUUUCUGGACUGUGUAUGACGCUCAGAUGCGAAAGCCAGGGUAGCGAGGGGGAUUAGAUCCCCCGUUAGUCCUGGCCGAAAACGAUGGUUACUAGGUGUGGGAGGUAUCGACUCCUUCCGUGCCGGAGUUAACGCAAUAAGUACCCCGCCUGGGGAGUACGGCCGCAAGGCUUAAACUCAAAGGAAUUGACGGGG
RNAcentral lists this ribosomal RNA (396 nucleotides) under uncultured bacterium. RNAcentral's name for it is "partial 16S ribosomal RNA". It matches the Rfam family "Bacterial small subunit ribosomal RNA", at positions 523 to 918 of the family's 1533-position model. The record is from RNAcentral.